GUGGCGUCCUGAGAGUUUGGCUCCCGGUUUUUAUCCGGAUUCUUUCUGCGUGUCUUUAAUAAGCUGAGUAAAAUACCGUUUUAUUCCCUGUUGGUAAAUAUUGUUGCGGACAUUUCCGGUUUUCUGUUUGUCUGACAGCUGAUCAGGACCAGCAGAUACCAGGACUGGACCACCAGACCACCGGACCCCCCACGGAAAGACGCUACAGCAGCAAAAUCCGACGCUCGGUUUCCUCUCGGCCUUGUGGGAACGGGAAGCGGCGCAUUGUGUUGGAGCUGCUGAGGUUUAAUCAUUAAUGAGCUCAGAGAGAGGACAGCCAUGAUGCAGCUCACACAGUCACGAAUCACAUUCCCAGGUCUGAAGAGGGAUGGAAAAUAUUCCAGGAAUUCCUCACGCUCUGCAGCUGUAGGCAGCGCGAGCCGGCCGGACGCGUCCUUCACGCCACCGUGAGCUCGUGCUCAGGGUCAGUUCACCGAACUGUUACCGCGGGGCGCGAGCGCACGGUCACACCAGCACAAGAGCCCCGGGACGAGUUAAAGAUUAACGGAGGGGAGAGUGAAGCAUCACGGGAAGGAGAGAGAAGGAGGCUCACGUGGACAAGUACGAGAAACAUGCUUAGAAUUAUUAUCAUCAUUUUUAUUAGUAGUUUUUUAUUUUUUAUUAUUUUAUUUUAUUUA
Long non-coding RNA from Cheilinus undulatus (humphead wrasse), 677 nucleotides. RefSeq lists it as uncharacterized. The record is from RefSeq and is a predicted model, not a curated record. Lineage: Eukaryota; Metazoa; Chordata; Actinopteri; Labriformes; Labridae. The transcript has 4 exons.